GGUCACACCGGAGCCUCCUCUUCUCCUGCCCAAACCACGCCAGGUUCCUCAGCCGCUCCUCCUAAGACCCGUGCUCCUAUUAAUUAAUUAAGUUCCCAUUUCCUAUAUUCCAGCUAGCAGCGACACAUUCACUGCCCAGAGGAGCUGCAGGCACCGAGACAACGGGACAUCAAUUACGGCGCCCCGCCACAAGUGAGAAAAGGCUUAAUUAGAGCGAAGACUGGGUGGAAGAGUAAAGGCUCAUUAAUCAAGUGGAUACCUCGAACUUUCAGUGGAAAGGAAUCCUGUCAGCAUACAUGGAAAACAGAAUAAGAAAAAGAAAACAUUAUUGAAACACUUCUAUUACUAAGCACAGGCCUGUAAAAACUGUCUAGUUCAUAGGUUAAAGUAUUUCUUCUGACCUGCCAACUCCUGCAUUUUCUAGCAGUGUAAAUUAAGAACAACAUUUAGAAAAAUCAUAUCUUGCUCCCCCCAUCAGAGGGCAAAAUCUCACCAUUUUUUUCAUCUUAGCAGGAGGUGAGAUUGAAUAUUAAAAACAAACAGAAAAACAAAAAAUAAAACUAUCACCAAAUUGCACAUAAAUAUUGUACACAAACUUUGUGCUCAGCCUUUCUUCUAAAGUACAAUUUUUCACAAGAUUCUGCUACUAAUUUACAAAAUGCUAUCUAGCUAUGUGUUUUUAUUGGCAAUUUACAGCCUGAAGGAUAAUACAUAAAUACAUAUAAACUAUUGAAAACUAAUUUAAAGUUAAAUAAAUUAAAUUUAUAGUUUGGAGAUAAGCCUUGAAAUUACUAGGAAUUUGGCCAAGACAGAAGUUCAGCUUUACAACAAGAUUACUGUUUUAAUGAAAUUGAAAAAAAUAUCUGCUAUACAGCCUUUAUAAUAUAAACCAGCUUGGAUUCUACUUGCAUUCAUUUAAAAGUUCCAGAUCUUUGAAAUUUAAAAGAAAAUAUGGCAGUGCUCAAAAUAAGCUUUGUGCAACGGGGAAAGUACAGCUUCCCUUCACAUCCCACCUGCUACUACCUCUGAGAUGUUUUCUGCUUAUAAAAAUGGUACUUCUCACAAACACAUCUCCUCACUAGUUCAAUAGUUCUAAGGAAGGAAAAACCCAAGGCUAACACAUUUCUUUAGUGCCACUCCUUCUCGAUAUAACAUAUGAUAAAGACCUUAAAAUUAUCAGCUUGUAUCUUCACUUAAUGUUAUUAUGGGUUAUCAUAUACUUAAAGUCUACUAUCAUGAUUUUCACAAAACAGUUUUCUGCAGGGAUAUCAGAUUUUUCAAGAUAAUGCCACUUAUUAUUCGUAUUAUGUUUUCCAUUCCUUAGUACAUACUUCCUUUCUAUUAACUUCUGGUUCUUAAUACAGUGUAGUAAUUUGCUAUUAAAGACACAUUAAAGACACAUUUCUUGAGUAAAA
Long non-coding RNA from Agelaius phoeniceus (red-winged blackbird), 1415 nucleotides. RefSeq lists it as uncharacterized. The record is from RefSeq and is a predicted model, not a curated record. Lineage: Eukaryota; Metazoa; Chordata; Aves; Passeriformes; Icteridae.